Long non-coding RNA from Ornithorhynchus anatinus (platypus), 644 nucleotides. RefSeq lists it as uncharacterized. The record is from RefSeq and is a predicted model, not a curated record. NCBI's taxonomy places the organism in Eukaryota, Metazoa, Chordata, Mammalia, Monotremata, Ornithorhynchidae. The transcript is spliced from 4 exons.
UGUUGGAUUGGACUCCCCCAAGCGCUCCGUCCAGUGCUCUGCCCACAGCAAGCGCGCAAUAAAUGCGACCGAAUGAACCCACACCCAUCUGCGGUCUCGUUUUCAGCCAGGCCGGCCGAGUCCUCCUCCGCCUCUGGACUCCGGUGGGGUCGCGGGGUCCCCACCCCCAAAAGACUUCCGCCGCGCGUGGCGAAGCUGACGUUCCGGAUUCGGCCACGGUCCGAGCCUGAGGAGGGACAGAGACACGGCGCGGAGGCGGCGGGGUUGGUCGGGGUCUCCGUGGGAUCAUCAUCAUCAUCAUCAUCAUCAUCCCGGCAUCCGUCGAGCGCUUCCUCUGGGCCGAGCGCCGUUCUAAGCGCCGGGCUGGAUCCGGCUUUAUCGCGUUGGACCCGGGCCCCCGUGGGACUCACAACUCUUCACCCCCGUUUUCCAGCGCUCAGAACACAGUAAGCGCCCGAGAAGCCCCGUCGUCGCCAUCGCUACGGCCGCCCCCCGCUCCGCCCGCGGGAGGCGCCCGAUCAGUACGAACGCACGGAACGGACGGCAUCGAGCGCCGCUCCGGGCGGGGCACGAGAGUCAGCGGACACGGUCCCGGCAGUCGAGCGGAGAGUCGACGAAUAAUAAUAAAAACGAUAACACCCGUA